AUGCCAGCCAGAGCUCAUGCC
Molecule: unclassified non-coding RNA, 21 nt
Filed under: Chlamydomonas reinhardtii
Lineage: Eukaryota; Viridiplantae; Chlorophyta; Chlorophyceae; Chlamydomonadales; Chlamydomonadaceae
Description: small RNA Cre_0742
Source: RNAcentral